AGUGAACGCUGGCGGCAGGCCUAAUACAUGCAAGUCGAACGGCAGCACAGCAGAGCUUGCUCUGUGGGUGGCGAGUGGCGGACGGGUGAGGAAUACGUGGGAAUCUGCCCAGUCGUGGGGGAUAACGUAGGGAAACUUACGCUAAUACCGCAUGCGCCCUUCGGGGGAAAGCCGGGGACCUUCGGGCCUGGCGCGAUUGGAUGAGCCCACGUCGGAUUAGCUAGUUGGCGGGGUAAAGGCCCACCAAGGCGACGAUCCGUAGCUGGUCUGAGAGGAUGAUCAGCCACACUGGAACUGAGACACGGUCCAGACUCCUACGGGAGGCAGCAGUAGGGAAUAUUGGACAAUGGGCGCAAGCCUGAUCCAGCCAUGCCGCGUGAGUGAAGAAGGCCCUCGGGUUGUAAAGCUCUUUUGUCCGGAAAGAAAAGCGCCGGGUUAAUACCCUGGUGUCCUGACGGUACCGGAAGAUAAGCACCGGCUAACUUCGUGCCAGCAGCCGCGGUAAU
RNAcentral lists this ribosomal RNA (506 nucleotides) under uncultured bacterium. RNAcentral describes it as "bacterial SSU rRNA". It matches the Rfam family "Bacterial small subunit ribosomal RNA", at positions 29 to 524 of the family's 1533-position model. The record is from RNAcentral.